GAACGCACAUUGCGCCCCUUGGUAUUCCGAGGGGCAUGCCUGUUCGAGCGUCAUUAUCACCCUUCAAGCUUUGCUUGGUGUUGGGGCAUGCCAUCACAGGCAGCCCUUAAAAUCAGUGGCAGUAACCAUUAGGCUCUAAGCGUAGUAAUUCUUCUCGCUAUAGCGUCUGGUGGUCGCGCGCCAAAACCCCCCAUUUUUCAUGAUUGACCUCGGAUCAGGUAGGGAUACCCGCUGAACUUAAG
Molecule: unclassified non-coding RNA, 242 nt
Filed under: uncultured fungus
Lineage: Eukaryota; Fungi
Description: sequence contains 5.8S rRNA gene
Rfam family: 5.8S ribosomal RNA (bases 1-53)
Source: RNAcentral